This 845-nucleotide ribosomal RNA is filed under the name Clostridium sp. RNAcentral's name for it is "bacterial SSU rRNA". It matches the Rfam family "Bacterial small subunit ribosomal RNA", at positions 1 to 880 of the family's 1533-position model. Lineage: Bacteria; Bacillati; Bacillota; Clostridia; Eubacteriales; Clostridiaceae. The record is from RNAcentral.
CUAAGAGUUUUGAAACUGGCUCAGGAUGAACGCUGGCGGCGUGCCUAACACAUGCAAGUCGAGCGAUCUCUUCGGAGAGAGCGGCGGACGGGUGAGUAACGCGUGGGUAACCUGCCCUGUACACACGGAUAACAUACCGAAAGGUAUACUAAUACGGGAUAACAUAUGAAAGUCGCAUGGCUUUUGUAUCAAAGCUCCGGCGGUACAGGAUGGACCCGCGUCUGAUUAGCUAGUUGGUAAGGUAAUGGCUUACCAAGGCAACGAUCAGUAGCCGACCUGAGAGGGUGAUCGGCCACACUGGAACUGAGACACGGUCCAGACUCCUACGGGAGGCAGCAGUGGGGAAUAUUGCACAAUGGGCGAAAGCCUGAUGCAGCAACGCCGCGUGAGCGAUGAAGGCCUUCGGGUCGUAAAGCUCUGUCCUCAAGGAAGAUAAUGACGGUACUUGAGGAGGAAGCCCCGGCUAACUACGUGCCAGCAGCCGCGGUAAUACGUAGGGGGCUAGCGUUAUCCGGAAUUACUGGGCGUAAAGGGUGCGUAGGUGGUUUUUUAAGUCAGAAGUGAAAGGCUACGGCUCAACCGUAGUAAGCUUUUGAAACUAGAGAACUUGAGUGCAGGAGAGGAGAGUAGAAUUCCUAGUGUAGCGGUGAAAUGCGUAGAUAUUAGGAGGAAUACCAGUAGCGAAGGCGGCUCUCUGGACUGUAACUGACACUGAGGCACGAAAGCGUGGGGAGCAAACAGGAUUAGAUACCCUGGUAGUCCACGCCGUAAACGAUGAGUACUAGGUGUCGGGGGUUACCCCCCUCGGUGCCGCAGCUAACGCAUUAAGUACUCCGCAUGGAGGG